RNAcentral lists this ribosomal RNA (256 nucleotides) under Pseudomonas aeruginosa. RNAcentral's name for it is "partial 23S ribosomal RNA". It matches the Rfam family "Bacterial large subunit ribosomal RNA", at positions 2689 to 2925 of the family's 2925-position model. The record is from RNAcentral. Lineage: Bacteria; Pseudomonadati; Pseudomonadota; Gammaproteobacteria; Pseudomonadales; Pseudomonadaceae.
GGACCGGAGUGGACGAACCUCUGGUGUUCCGGUUGUCACGCCAGUGGCAUUGCCGGGUAGCUAUGUUCGGAAAAGAUAACCGCUGAAAGCAUCUAAGCGGGAAACUUGCCUCAAGAUGAGAUCUCACUGGGAACUUGAUUCCCCUGAAGGGCCGUCGAAGACUACGACGUUGAUAGGCUGGGUGUGUAAGCGUUGUGAGGCGUUGAGCUAACCAGUACUAAUUGCCCGUGAGGCUUGACCAUAUAACACCCAAACA